GUCGUGUGGAAAAUGCUUUUGCUCGUCAAGGAAAGAAAUUUGACUAUGACUAAAACAGUUGAGGUUUGCAGGUGACCAUCUUAUGGAGUUGGGUGCUGGGGUUGAGCUAGCAACAGCUGCUGUGCCACACCUUUUCCUUCCUUUGGCUUGUGCUGCUAAUGUGGCAAAGAAUGUUGGUGCUGUAACAUCAACAUCAACUCGUACACCAAUUUACAAAGCUUUUGCUAAAGGAGAAAACAUUGGGGAUGUCACAGCUAAAGGGGAAUGUGUGGGCAACAUUGCAGAUCUGCUGGGAACUGGACUAAGCAUUAUGAUCUCAAAAAAAAAUCCUUCGUUGGUUUCUACAUUUGCCUUUCUGUCAUGUGGAUACAUCCUCAGCUCUUAUCGAGAGGUUAAAUCUGUAGUGUUGCACACAUUAAACCGUGCUAGAUUUACAGUAGCAGUGGACUCCUUUCUGAAGACAGGACGUGUUCCUUCACUGUAUGAGGCUAAUAUGCAGAAAAGAUAUUCGUUUUGCCAUGGUUGAAGGACGGGCAUGUUGUCCUUGGAUCAAGGUUUAAGGAUGCAUUCCAAGACCCAAGUGCAUAUCUGGCAAUAAAACCCUUUUUUGAGAAAGAGAGAUAUAUGGUGACAUACAAUCCUUCCAAGGGCAAAGUAUAUGCGUUGCUCAAGGAUCAGGCAAAGUCCGACGACAUUCUAAAAGCAGCGUUUCAUGCACAUGUGUUGUUGAAUUUGAUUCAUUCAUCAAACAGUAGUAGGUCCUUAGCCUGGAAGCAGGAA
This is a non-coding RNA of Carica papaya (papaya), 780 nucleotides long. The record is from RefSeq and is a predicted model, not a curated record. Lineage: Eukaryota; Viridiplantae; Streptophyta; Magnoliopsida; Brassicales; Caricaceae.